This 73-nucleotide transfer RNA is filed under the name Ailuropoda melanoleuca (giant panda). It matches the Rfam family "tRNA". From Rfam's summary of the family: Transfer RNA (tRNA) molecules are approximately 80 nucleotides in length. Their secondary structure includes four short double-helical elements and three loops (D, anti-codon, and T loops). Lineage: Eukaryota; Metazoa; Chordata; Mammalia; Carnivora; Ursidae. The record is from Rfam by way of RNAcentral.
GCCGGGCUGGCUCCGCGGGUAGAGCAUGCGACUCUUGAUCUCGGGGUUGUGAGUUCGAGUCCCACGUUGGGUG